Molecule: transfer RNA, 70 nt
Filed under: Thelenota ananas
Lineage: Eukaryota; Metazoa; Echinodermata; Holothuroidea; Aspidochirotida; Stichopodidae
Description: tRNA-Val
Source: RNAcentral
CAGAAUAUAGCUAGGGAGUAAGCAUCUCUUUUACACGGAGCUGAGGUUUGUGCAAUUCAAACUGUUCUGA